Molecule: long non-coding RNA, 1165 nt
Organism: Cyprinus carpio (common carp)
Lineage: Eukaryota; Metazoa; Chordata; Actinopteri; Cypriniformes; Cyprinidae
Source: Ensembl
UCUAAGUGAGUAUAGGUUUGAUGAAGCAGGUGGACAAUGGCGUCAUCCACUCCAAGUUGAGGCUGGUAAGCAAACUGUAACGGAUCAAGCAAGGGUUUGACAAGGGGUAAAAUGGAUCUGAGGAUCAGUCUCUCAAAAACUUUCAUUAAAUGAGAGGUCAGUGCUACUGGUCUGUAGUCAUUAGGGACACAUGGCCAUGCUACUUUUGGUACUGGCACUAACCAAGAUGUUUUCCAUAGCACUGGGACCCUCUCCAGAUGUAGGCUCAGGUUAAAGAUGUACUGUAUUGUAACAAACCACAAAGUUGUAGGGUACAGGCUUUAAGUAUUCUUGGACUGAUUCCAUCAGGGCCCACAGCCUUUGUGGAGCUAAGCCUGCUCAAUUCCCUUCUUACUUGAACCUCUGAGAUGGUGAUGGUUUCAGAGGGAUUUGGCGCAGUGGCCAGUACAUGGGUAGGAUGUACUGAUGAUUGUGUAGAGAAGUUAUAGGAGGGGAGCAUUUGAGGCUUCACAUCAAAUCUAUUAAAGAAAAGAUUGAGCUUAUAAGCAUGAUCUAUAUUGCCCUCCUACAGCUGGCUGUCAGUCUUAUUGUCACGGUUCAUAGAUCUAUGGUGUCAUCUUGUUGUCUGUGUGUAGGUUGCGGGGUGUAUCACCUGAUUGUUCUGUGUGGGCGUCGCCGCUGAUUACUGAUCAGCGGCAGCUUGGGCUUAUUACAUCUUGCCUAUUUAACGCCUUGUCUUUCAUCUCAUGUUUGUCAGAUCGUUGUUUGGAGUCCUGGUGUUUGUUCGUGUCUCUCGUGUUUGUUGUACCUGCUCUGGAUUUCUCGUCGCUGUUUCCUGUUGCCUGUCUGUUCCUGUGGAUUAUCGUUCUGAAUUCCUCGUUCAUCACUUCAGCCACGUUGACUUCACGGACACCACUCACCACGGAUCACCACUCACCACGGACACCAUCGCCCAUCAAAGUCCCUGUGUUACCAUCUCUCCUGCUGCUUAUUUGUCUUGUCAUUUCAUGUACAUCUGACUUUAUCUGGCGUGAAGCUCUAUUAAAAGAGAUAAUUAACUUGCAAUUGCAUCCAGUCUUCUUUUCCGUGACACUUAUAUCCAGUGAUGGCCCUCAUGCCUCUCCACACCUCCCUCAAGUUAUUUUGUUGCAAGCUAUUUCCCAAU